AAGACCCACGAAGAGGAUGGAGAGGGUGCGAGAAGACAGUGGAGGGCAAUUCCAUGCUUCUCCAGGCAAAGCCAAUGGGAGAACUUGGCCUUGGGCCCCCAGCUCUACAGCUCCACUACUGGCCCUUAUUUAGCAGCGAUAUCACAGCCUGCUGGGGGCUCAGGUCUACGACUCUCACUGGAGCCACCAGCCCUUCCUCCUGGCCGAUGCUUAUUGAGAUGCACCUGGGGAAGCGUGGGUUGCAUCACACCAGAGCAGACCUGGGACCUGGGGCAGCAUCAGGAAGAAGUGGCACGCAGGGGCCUCCCCCAAGUCCAGUGUCGUGCCUGGUCCACGCACAGCUGAUUGACUCCAAUAUAAAUCCAUUACAUUUGGCGAACUCCACCCAGCGUGAGCUCCAGCCUGGCCCCCCGUGGACUUCCGUGCUCUUACCAGCACCACCUCGACGCCAGUUACCCAGGCGUGAAAGCGUGCGGACGGCACGAACUCCUUCCUUCCCCUCAUCCCCCCCGGCCGGCUCCUCACCAGGUUCUGGCCCCACGUGCCCUUCUCCGCCCUUCCUACUGCAAACUCAGCUUUCCCUGCUACUCAAGCUCACCUCUCUGCCUGUCUGAGUGACGGAAACCGGUAACCGCCUUUAGUGAGCAAACACAAUUCCUGCUCGCCUAAAGAACCUGGGGUUUGCCUGGGGCUUCUCAUCUGAGUGACAGCAAAGAGGCGACGGCCUGGAUCAGUCCCGACUGAUAGGCAGCUCCAUACUGUCAGCGCCCAAAGGAGAGCAGAGGCCUCUGGGAGCAGAGGGCGCCCUGGGACUAGGCUAGGGGUGCAGCGGGACCCAGCAGUCCGGCCUCACCUCUGCAGGUUUCAGCGGGAGGGCGGCUGCGCCCACCAUUUGACCUGCCUGUGUCCCCUCACGUGGGCUCAGGCUUGUGGCCUCCUUCAAUAAAAACCUUUUAAAAUGA
Long non-coding RNA from Lagenorhynchus albirostris (white-beaked dolphin), 962 nucleotides. RefSeq lists it as uncharacterized. The transcript is spliced from 2 exons. The record is from RefSeq and is a predicted model, not a curated record. NCBI's taxonomy places the organism in Eukaryota, Metazoa, Chordata, Mammalia, Artiodactyla, Delphinidae.